Molecule: ribosomal RNA, 268 nt
Filed under: uncultured bacterium
Lineage: Bacteria
Description: partial 16S ribosomal RNA
Rfam family: Bacterial small subunit ribosomal RNA
Source: RNAcentral
CUGGCAACAAAGUGAAGCGAGACGGUGACGUUAAGCAAAUCACAAAAAUAACGUCUCAGUUCGGAUUGUAGUCUGCAACUCGACUACAUGAAGCUGGAAUCGCUAGUAAUCGCGAAUCAGAAUGUCGCGGUGAAUACGUUCCCGGGUCUUGUACACACCGCCCGUCACACCAUGGGAGUCAGUAACGCCCGAAGCCGGUGACCCAACCAAACGGAGGGAGCCGUCGAAGGUGGGACCGAUAACUGGGGUGAAGUCGUAACAAGGUACC